GUGUUCACUUUGGAAUCACAUACACAAAAACUGAAGUGACACAGUGAGAUUAGAAUAUCCCCUGUGCAAGAAUGACAAAUUUGUAACACAUUUUCUAUUUUU
Small nuclear RNA from Gorilla gorilla gorilla (western lowland gorilla), 102 nucleotides. The record is from Ensembl. NCBI's taxonomy places the organism in Eukaryota, Metazoa, Chordata, Mammalia, Primates, Hominidae.